Molecule: RNA transcript, 956 nt
Organism: Drosophila mauritiana
Lineage: Eukaryota; Metazoa; Arthropoda; Insecta; Diptera; Drosophilidae
Exons: 3
Source: RefSeq, a predicted model, not a curated record
UUGAUUUGCGAGUUUCAAGUGAACAUAAUCCAGUUUUCAGAUUGUUCUAUAUUUUCCAUAGAUUUUUUUAAGUUUUAUUUCACAAGAAAAAUGGUAUCCUUUGGCGGUGUGGCAAAACUAUUGAGUAGCUUUGAGUGCAGUGCCAGUUCGUGGGUCAAAGUCGUAAAUCCCGGAUGGUACGAGGCUCGUGAGAUUCCGAAGACCAUCCUAAUCCAGAAAGUGCAACAUGAGCCCCAAAAUACCAGGGUGAUACGCCAGCGACCCCAAACCGCGGAGCCGCCCAAGAAAUCCACUAGUCAAAAGCGCCAACUUAAUCUUUAAGCUCUAAGAAGAUAGGAAAAUAAUGACUCAUUGAUUUAAAUGUUUUAAUCGAAUGUACAUUGUAUUGAGUUGUCUCGCAGUCGUCAUCGAUUUCGGUAUUUUGUCUGCUCCGCGACACGGCCACACUGAGUCGGUGCCGAGUUUUUGCUUCGCGAGCAGGUGGUGUUGUCCAAUCAGAAUCGCCGUCGACGGCACGAAUAACAGAAAAAAAUUCCAAUAGAACAGCCGAGGGCGAUUAUUUAUGUGUGUUCAUGUUAAAUGUUAAAUGCAAAAUUACGCGACGCACGCUGCGCCCACGCGAUUUCGAAUCCAUAUCCGAUUGUUAAGUGCAAACACACACACACCAACCAAGUGAAUAUAAUAUGUAAGCGAAAGGCAAGAAGCCAGCAACAAAGCGCCAGUGAUAAGCGCAAUAAUAUAAAUGCAAUAUAGUAUAAAUUCAACGUGAAAAGAAAUCUCGCCAGAGAAAUACAAAAAAAAAGCGGAGGCAGCGACAAAUGGAAAUCAAGCAAAAUGAAGAAGAGCGGAGAGAUAGAAAUCGUAAUGUGUAAGCGGGACCAGAGCGUAUGAAAAAAUCGAAAAAAAAAACGGUGGAGCGAAGAUUAAAUAAAUUUACAAGUGUGUUUUGUAUUUGA